UACGUAGGGGGCUAGCGUUGUCCGGAAUCAUUGGGCGUAAAGAGCGCGUAGGCGGCCAGAUAAGUCCGGUGUGAAAGUCAAAGGCUCAACCUUUGAAUGCCGCUGGAAACUGUCUGGCUAGAGUCCGGGAGGGGCGAGUGGAAUUCCUGGUGUAGCGGUGAAAUGCGCAGAUAUCAGGAGGAACACCGGUGGCGAAGGCGGAUCUCUGGGCAGUUCCUGACGCUGAGGCACGAAGGCCAGGGGAGCAAACGGG
This 253-nucleotide ribosomal RNA is filed under the name uncultured bacterium. RNAcentral's name for it is "partial 16S ribosomal RNA". It matches the Rfam family "Bacterial small subunit ribosomal RNA", at positions 524 to 776 of the family's 1533-position model. The record is from RNAcentral.